AUUGAACGCUGGCGGAAUGCUUUACACAUGCAAGUCGAGCGGCAGCGCGGGGCAACCUGGCGGCGAGCGGCGAACGGGUGAGUAACACAUCGGAACGUGCCCAGACGUGGGGGAUAGCCCGGCGAAAGCCGGAUUAAUACCGCAUACGAUCUAAGGAUGAAAGCGGGGGACUCGCAAGGGCCUCGCGCGUUUGGAGCGGCCGAUGGCAGAUUAGGUAGUUGGUGGGGUAAAGGCUUACCAAGCCUGCGAUCUGUAGCUGGUCUGAGAGGAUGAUCAGCCACACUGGGACUGAGACACGGCCCAGACUCCUACGGGAGGCAGCAGUGGGGAAUUUUGGACAAUGGGCGCAAGCCUGAUCCAGCCAUGCCGCGUGUGUGAAGAAGGCCUUCGGGUUGUAAAGCACUUUAAGCGAGGAGGAAGGUCUUUGAAUUAAUACUUCAAAGAAUUGACGUUACUCGCAGAAUAAGCACCGGCUAACUCUGUG
RNAcentral lists this ribosomal RNA (484 nucleotides) under uncultured bacterium. Its description in RNAcentral is "bacterial SSU rRNA". It matches the Rfam family "Bacterial small subunit ribosomal RNA", at positions 30 to 507 of the family's 1533-position model. The record is from RNAcentral.